CGGGGGGAGUGCCCUUCCUGACUUGAUCACCGGGAGUUCUGUUCUUCUGGGAACAAAAUACCUGGAAGAGCCCAACAUCGAGUGAUCACGUUUCCUCCAGAUUUCCAGGCCUGGGGCUGUUGCUUUUCUUUCCUGGAUGGGCUCCCAGCGCAGCCAGUGGCUCUUCCCGUCUGGACGGUGACUCAGGCUGAGAAAGCGCGUUUCUGUGACUUGAGCUGGCGUUUGCAGCACAGCCCUCGGAAAUGACUUCACUGACCAUGGGAGUCAGUGGCGCAGAUCAGGCUGGCAUCAAGCCGGCUGGCCCCCGGGCCACUGAGAACGUCUCACAGCCCCUUCGCCAAGACGUCCAGGGGUGUGUACUUCCAGCAAACCUCUACUGGAGACACCA
Odocoileus virginianus texanus is the source of this 388-nucleotide non-coding RNA. The record is from RefSeq and is a predicted model, not a curated record. Lineage: Eukaryota; Metazoa; Chordata; Mammalia; Artiodactyla; Cervidae.